GCGCCCGUAGCUCAAUGGAUAGAGCGCUUGCCUCCGGAGCAAGAGGUUGGAGGUUCGAGUCCUCUCGGGCGUA
This 73-nucleotide transfer RNA is filed under the name Phycisphaerae bacterium. RNAcentral describes it as "tRNA-Arg". It matches the Rfam family "tRNA". Rfam says of the family: Transfer RNA (tRNA) molecules are approximately 80 nucleotides in length. Their secondary structure includes four short double-helical elements and three loops (D, anti-codon, and T loops). RNAcentral also lists the same sequence under 2 other names. The record is from RNAcentral. Lineage: Bacteria; Pseudomonadati; Planctomycetota; Phycisphaerae.